UGGGGAAUUUUGGACAAUGGGCGAAAGCCUGAUCCAGCAAUGCCGCGUGUGUGAAGAAGGCCUUCGGGUUGUAAAGCACUUUUGUCCGGAAAGAAAUCCUUGGCUCUAAUACAGUCGGGGGAUGACGGUACCGGAAGAAUAAGCACCGGCUAACUACGUGCCAGCAGCCGCGGUAAUACGUAGGGUGCAAGCGUUAAUCGGAAUUACUGGGCGUAAAGCGUGCGCAGGCGGUUUGCUAAGACCGAUGUGAAAUCCCCGGGCUCAACCUGGGAACUGCAUUGGUGACUGGCAGGCUAGAGUAUGGCAGGAGGGGGGUAGAAUUCCACGUGUAGCAGUGAAAUGCGUAGAGAUGUGGAGGAAUACCGAUGGCGAAGGCAGCCCCCUGGGCCAAUACUGACGCUCAUGCACGAAAGCGUGGGGAGCAAACAGGAUUAGAUACCCUGGUAGUCCACGCCCUAAACGAUGUCAACUAGUUGUUGGGGAUUCAUUUCCUUGGUAACGUAGCUAACGCGUGAAGUUGACCGCCUGGGGAGUACGGUCGCAAGAUUAAACUCAAUGAAUUG
Molecule: ribosomal RNA, 563 nt
Filed under: uncultured bacterium
Lineage: Bacteria
Description: partial 16S ribosomal RNA
Rfam family: Bacterial small subunit ribosomal RNA
Source: RNAcentral